AACGAACGCUGGCGGCACGUUUUAAGCAUGCAAGUCGAAUGGCAGCAGGGGCAACUCUGUGAGAAUGGCGAACGGGUGAGUAACACGUAGGUGAUCUGCCUUGAGGAUGGGGAUAGCCUGUGGAAACACAGGGUAAUACCGAAUAAGCUGACGGGACUUUGGUUUUGUUAGUAAAGGUGCUACGGCACCACCUUGAGAGGAGCCUGCGGCUGAUUAGCUAGUUGGUGGGGUAAAGGCCUACCAAGGCAACGAUCAGUAGCCGGCCUGAGAGGGUGUACGGCCACACUGGGACUGAGACACGGCCCAGACUCCUACGGGAGGCAGCAGCUAAGAAUCUUCCGCAAUGGGCGAAAGCCUGACGGAGCGAUGCCGCGUGAUCGAUGAAGGUCGAGAGAUUGUAAAGAUCUUUUCUACAUGAGGAAUAAGUCUGGGAGGGAAUGCCUGGAUGAUGACGUUAGUGUAGGAAUAAGCCCCGGCUAAUUACGUGCCAGCCGCCGCGGUAA
Molecule: ribosomal RNA, 503 nt
Filed under: uncultured bacterium
Lineage: Bacteria
Description: partial 16S ribosomal RNA
Rfam family: Bacterial small subunit ribosomal RNA
Source: RNAcentral